GUGUGCAUGUGCGUGUGUAUGUGUGUUCAUGUGGGUGUGUCAGUUUGUGUGUACUCACCUAGUUGUAGUUGCAUGGGUUGAGUCACAGUUCCUGGCUCUGCCUCUUCAUUGGUUGCUACUAGGUCACUCUACCUGCUCCAUGAGCUUUAUCAUACCUCUUCUUAAAGCUAUGUAUGGAUCCUGCCUCCACUACAUCACUUUGCAGACUAUUCCACUUCCUGACAACUCUGUGACUGAAGAAAUACUUCCUAACAUCCCUGUGACUCAUCUGAAUCCUCAACUUCCAAUUGUGACUACUUGCUACUGUGUUCCAUCUCUGGAACUUCCUGUUUCUGUCCACCUUGUCAAUUCCUGUCAGUACUUUAUAUGUCGUUAUCAUCAUAUCCCCCUUAUCUCUCCUGUCCUCCAGUGUCGUCAGGUCGAUUUCCCUUAACCUCUCCUCGUAGGACAUACCUCUUAGCUCUGGGACUAGUCUUGUUGCAAACCCUUGCACUUCCUCUAAUUUCCUUACAUGCUUGGCUAGAUGUGAGUUCCAAACUAGUGCUGCAUACUCCAAUAAAGGCCUGACAUACACAGUGUACAGGGUCCUGAACAAUUCCUUAUUGAGAGGUUGGAAUGCUAUUCUUAGGUUUGCUAGGCACCCUUAUGCUGCAGCAGUUAUUUGGUUGAUGUGCACCUCAGAUGUGCCUGGUGUUACACUUACCCUAAGAUCCUUUUCCUUGAGUGAGGUUUGUUGUCUUUGACCCCCUAUACUCUCUGCGGUCUUCUUUGCCCUUCCUUAAUCAUCAUGACUUUGCACUUGGUGGGGUUGAACUCCAGGAGCCAAUUGCUGGACCAGGUCUGCAGCCUGUCCAGAUCCCUUUGUAGUUCUGCCUGGUCCUCAUCCAAUUGAAUUCUUCUCAUCUACUAAAUGUGUGUGUGUGUGUGUGUGUGUGUGUGUGUGCGCGUGCGUGUGUGUGUGCGCGUGCGUGUGUGUGUGCGUGUGUGUGCGCGCGUGCGUGUGCGCGUGCGUGCACGCGUGCAUAUAUGUAUAUACACACGUUGUAUAUUCAAGUACAUACAGUAAGUCCUCAACUUACAAACAAGUUGAGAAUCUUCUGUAUUGUACAUAAUAUCAUUAUUAUAUCAUUAUUGUGUAUAAUAUCAUUUUUAUAUCAUUAUACACAAUACAGAAGGUCCCCAACAUGUUCAUAUGACUUCCUAUAUCUCGUGUAUCUCACAUGCAACAGUACAAUAUAAUGCAAAUAUUUUCAGUCUGCUAGAGAGCCUCCUGAGGGUCUGCACUCACAAACUAGAAGUGUUCAAUCAGGUUAGGUUAGGUAAGGUUCAUCAAGAAACACGACAAGUGUUUCCUGACGUGUGUCUUAGUAAUUUAAUGACCUGUCACUGGAGCUUUAAGUCAUCUGACCAAGGCCUUCCGCUGGCUUACCCCUUCACCCUUUUACAAAUUAUGGUAAUGAUAUUAAUCAUUAGAUAGUGAUUUUAAUGAGAAGUGUCACUGUAGGUUUAUUCUUUGUCAUACUAAGUAUGCAAUUUACAGUUCUCAGAACAUGCAAUUCCGUAUGUUUAUAACUUCUUUUCGAAGAUUACACUGAGAAUUUUUUUCGACUGCUUAUUUUUCAGCCAGAAAAAAAAUUAAAUGAAAAGUUUAAUUAUUCUUCCUUACUAGGAUGGACUUAAACCUGCAAAAAAAAAAAAAAUUGUAAUGAGGCAGAAAUACGAUUUCUGAAGACGCAGAUGAAGGCUGGCAUUUACAAAUCUCCAUGCUGUGAUUAUGACAAAUACAGGUACCAUCUGACUUACGACCGAGCUUGGUUCUGACCAACCGGUCGGAAGUCAAAAUGGAUGUAAAUCGAACCUUAGAAAAUUGCCAAUAGGGAUAGUAGUAGUUAUACAUGUGGUGGAAAAGUCAGCUGGUACAUGAGAAAGAAAGGUUACAAAAACUAUAGCUUGGGUAGCAUAAAAGAUAAGUUGGGCAAAUGUAGAAAGGAUGAACACUACAGCAGGCCUGUUGGCCCGAACUGGGCAUGUCCUUUAUCUGUGUCUGGCAGCCCUGCUGCCAGAUGCAUGGUCAUAAGCCGAGUGAUCAUAUGUCGCGUAGGCUGUAAGUCGGAUUGUGAGUGUACUAUAUUGUGAAAAUAAUUUGCUUUAAACAUCAAGUUUAUCAGCAUAAGUACAGUACGGCCCCACUUAUACGGCGGGUUAGGUUCCAGGCUGUCGCCGGAAAGGAGAAUGUCAUUUUUUCCACUUAUAAAUGCAUAUAAAUGCCAGACAACAAGUUUACCCUAACUUAUAUUAAGUUAGUAAUAGAACUAGGCAUUAAAAAACACAAUAAAAAGUAGAAUACAUACACAGUACAUUCAUUACUUACCUUAAAAUACAGUGGACCCCCGGUUAACGAUAUUUUUUCAUUCCAGAUGUAUGUUCAGGUGCCAGUACUGACCGAAUUUGUUCCCAUGAGGAAUAUUGUGAAGUAGAUUAGUCCAUUUCAGACCCCCAAACAUACACGCGCAAAAGCACUUACAUAAAUACACUUACAUAAUUGGUUGCAUUGGGAGGUGAUCGUUAAGCGGGGGUCCACUGUAUUUGUAGUCUUACUAAUGUAGGGUGAGAGGUGAGUAGUACUUAUUUGUAGGAAGUCAGGUGUUGGUAGCCCAGGUGUAGGUAGUACUGGCUCCCCGUCCCAAACUUAAUAUAAGAUAUUUAAAGAAGCCCAGAGAGAUAAAAUACACAUGCAGUACACUCGCUAUUUACCUUAAAAUAUGUGUAGUCUUAAUGUUGGAUGAGAGGUGAGUAGUAUUUAUUUGUAGGAAGUCAGUGUAGGUAGCUGGUAGGUGUAGCCCGCCUGGGCUACACCUACGUACUGGCUACCUACACUGCGGCCCAGAGCCAUAUUAUUACCAUCAACAUACCUUGUUCACUGAAUUUUAUCAUUUCUGACAACUCCCUUUAGAUGCCAUGAUAAACGAAGGGAGAAGUAAUGAAUAAUUCAUGCCGAGAAUUGUGAACAAAAGCGGAGUGUUCAGGGGAGUGACUAGGCCAAGCGCAGAUUCAUGUUUUCUCUGGUGCUGGACCAGAGAAAACAAUGUUUUCCCCUCCCGGCUAUGACACCUCCAUAGCAUAUAAACAUAGCAUGUUUAUAUGCUAUGUAAUGUGUGUCUUAUAUAAUUUUGAAGAAAAUAUCAUAGAUGGAUUAAUGAAAAUGUCUAUAUUAAUGUAAAAUAAGACAUUUAAUUUUCCCAAGAGUGAUUAUUAUUACAUACUGUUAGUAUUACUAUAGCAUUAAGACUAGAGGGACACUUAGUGAUUUUAAUGUGUACCUGCAUGCCAGCACUGUAAGUAAAUGUAUUUAGGUACAGGUACACAAGUAUUAUUAUCAGAGCACAUAUAAAAUAUGCAUAUGCCAUAUUGGAGGAAUGCCGUAAGGCGAAAUGCUGUAAAGCGGGGCCCUACUGUACUCUGUACACACUGAGGAUGAUGAUAUUGUAUUUGGCACAUACUAAAUACAGAGAAUCAAAGUUAAUUUCGACGAAGAAAAUAUUCUGAUGGGAUGUAACAACACAGGAGAGAGAGAUUAGGGAAUCACAUAACUGUGUUCCACAUAUGAAUGAGAACGUAGAGCCUUUGCUGAAUAUUUUUCUUAAAUUUGUUAAACCAUUAAGGAAGAUAAUUUAGCAAUGUAGUCUGAGGCCUCCAUGCAUGUUGUGUUAGACUACCCACCCUGUAUAUAUCUGAUUAAUUUAAUUGUAUAGGAAAUAUACGAAAUAAGCGAGGAGCAUACUUUACUGGUAGUGGGUUUGUGUCGCCCAUCUUUAGAUAUUGUUUAAUGUCACCUCUGCACUAUUUAUAACAUUUUAAGUAUAUUUUUAAAUGUUCAUAUGCUAGUGUACUGUAUAUUGUAAUAAACAGAACAGGGGAAAUCAGCUCUAAUAUACAUAGGUAUGGUCAGAGAGCUGGUCGUAAGUCCGAGCAGUCGUUAAACAAGUACACCUACCAUCCGACUUACGACCGAGUUCGGUUCCAAGAAACCGGUCGGAAGUCGAAAUGGUCAUAAGUCAAACUUUACUGCUGAAUAUCAACAAAACAUUUUUGUAAUGACUUUAUUUUAUUGUUUUAUUUUGGUAUUUCAUGUUUUACUUUACUUUUUAUGUUGUUAGUACUGUAUUUUAUACUGUAAGGUUUAGGAUAAACACUGUGUACAACACAAAUAGUUGUUUAUUUCCCAGAAAUUUGGCAUAAAAAAAACGGUCGUAAGUCAAGUAGUCGUAAGUCAAGCAGGUCGUAAGUCAGAUGGUAGGUGUACGUCGUUACGUGAGGAGAGACUGUAUUAAAAAGGAUAGGCACUUUAGUUUCCUCUUUUUUGGGUCACCCAGCCUUGGUAGGAGAUGGCUGGUGUGGGAAAAAGGGAGGGAACAGUUUAGCAUGACCCAUAGGCAAGCUUCAGUCAUUCUUCGUCCCCAUCCACCUGGCAUGCUUGGUUAGCAGAACCUGAGGACAGUGUCUAUUAGACCGAAAAUGUUUGUGUUAGAAAUUUAUGAACUACGCUCUUCCGUGUGGGUUACCUGUAUUACCCAUAUGGUCAGUGUUUGGUUAACUCAAUCAACACUAUAAUAAAUAUAUACACACACGCACGCACGUGCGUGCACAUACACAAUGAAAUACAUUGAUACAUGUGCAAAACCACAUCAAAAGUUGAAUGAUAGCUCCAGGACUUUUGUGUUUCAAUCAGCUCAUUAGGAGCUUGCAAUACUGCAGAAAUGAGUAGGAAGCCCAGGCCUAGAGCUAUUAUUCAACUCCCCCUGUGGUUAUUUUGCAACUUUUAUCACUCAUUCGCGAUUAUUGCAUACGUAUAUUGUAAUUUACUGGCAUAUAUAUUCGUAUUAAAAUACACAGAAGAUGGAAAAAUAACCUGGAGGGUGUUUUGAGGGGUCAAUGCCCCUGUGGCCUGGUCCAUGACCAGGCCUCCUGGUGGAUCAGGGCCUGAUCAACCAGGCUGUUACUGCCAGCAAAACACAGAUUUACCUUCUAUUUGAUCUCAAGUAAAAUGAUCAUAGAGAUAAUAAUAAUAGUUGUUAAGAAACAGUCUUACAGUUAUAGCAAGAGUCAAGGAUGACUUAAUGUAUUGUGCUUCGUGUUAUAACGUAUUUAUUGCAGUACAAAUAAGGCUGAAUUUGGCUUUAUUAGUAGCAGUUUUUUUUACUUAUUUUUAAACUUUAUUGGGAAGUUUGACUAUGACAUACCAUGCUGUAUAUUUAUUGUAGUUAUGCAAUAUUAGUUUUAUUGAUAAUUUUGUGUAUAACGGCUGUAAAGGUGUAUUUUAUGUGUUGAUUUGGCAAUGUAAAAUUUUGCAUUACAAGCCUAAUUUUUUAGCAAAAACUUAUAAUUUGAUAUCAGAAAAAAUGCUAACACUUCACUUUUUUCACAAAUAGAUUUGAUGAUUUAUUGUACCGCAUUUUCCAGCAUAUAAAGUGCUCUGUUUUGCCCACAAAAAGGACUUGGAAAGUCAGUCUGCGCCUUAAAUGCUCAAGGUGAGGGUCAAGAGUAGGCUUUGUGUCACACUUUAGCAGUUGUUUACUAACGUUAUGUUACAGCCACUUGGAAACAUCGUCAUGUAUGCUCAUGCACCUUAUAUGCCGGAAAAUACGAUAUAUCGCAUGCAGUGGCGGACCUACAUUUUUGGGGUCCUAGAGCUUGAAAUGUUCUGGGGCCCUAAAGCUUGACCUGUUACGGGGGGCCCUUCACAACCCCUUCUCAUACAGAAGACCCAAAAGAUUUAAGCAAUGUGGACUAAAGUCACUUUUAGGGCCCCUCAGGGAUUAGGGGCCCUGAAGCUCAACCUCCAUUAUUUUCACAGUAGAUCCGCUCCUGAUCACACAGGUCUUAGGCUUAGAAUUAUCAAUAUAUUUAUUCCUUAAACAUGUUACGAUAAUGUACUUGAAACAGGAUUUACAAUUAAAAUGGUUGUGAGCUUUUGCAAAUGAAGUCAAAUCAAAUUUGCAUUUUUUUCAUGUGACAAAAAAAUCAUUUCUUUCAUCAAAAGAAAUAUUACCCAAACCUCAGUUACUGUACGUAUAUCCUAGACUAUAACAUUUAUCCUGGUAACAAUUAUUGUUGCACAUUUAUUUCAAAGUCCAAAAUAUUCUGGCACUUUAUUUGAGAGUUCAAAACAGUCUGGCCAUUUAUUUGAAAAUCCAAAAACAGUCUGGCCAUUUAUUUGAAAGCCCAAAAACAGUCUGGCCAUUUAUUUGAAAAUCCAAAAACAGUCUGGCCAUUUAUUUGAAAAUCCAAAAAUAGUCUGGCCAUUUAUUUGAAAGCCCAAAAAACAGUCUGGCCAUUUAUUUGAAAAUCCAAAAACAGUCUGGCCAUUUAUUUGAAAAUCCAAAAACAGUCUGGCCAUUUAUUUGAAAAUCCAAAAACAGUCUGGCCAUUUAUUUGAAAAUCCAAAAAUAGUCUGGCCAUUUAUUUGAAAGCCCAAAAACAGUCUGGCCAUUUAUUUGAAAAUCCAAAAACAGUCUGGCCAUUUAUUUGAAAAUCCAAAAACAGUCUGGCCAUUUAUUUGAAAAUCCAAAAACAGUCUGGCCAUUUAUUUGAAAAUCCAAAAACAGUCUGGCCAUUUAUUUGAAAAUCCAAAAACAGUCUGGCCAUUUAUUUUAAAGCCAAAAACAGUCUGGCCAUUUAUUUGAGAGUUCAAAACAGUCUGGUCAUUUAUUUGAAAGCCCAAAAACAGUCUGGCCAUUUAUUUGAAAGCCCAAAAACAGUCUGGCCAUUUAUUUGAGAGUUCAAAACAGUCUGGCCAUUUAUUUGAAAGCCCAAAAACAGUCUGGCCAUUUAUUUGAAAGCCCAAAAACAGUCUGGCCAUUUAUUUGAAAGCCCAAAAACAGUGGCCAUUUAUUUGAAAGCCCAAAAACAGUCUGGCCAUUUAUUUGAAAGCCCAAAAACAGUCUGGCCAUUUAUUUGAGAGUUCAAAACAGUCUGGCCAUUUAUUUGAAAGCCCAAAAACAGUCUGGCCAUUUAUUUGAAAGCCCAAAAACAGUCUGGCCAUUUAUUUGAAAGCCAAAAGCAGUCUGGCCAUUUAUUUGAGAGUUCAAAACAGUCUGGCCAUUUAUUUGAAAGCCCAAAAACAGUCUGGCCAUUUAUUUGAAAGCCCAAAAACAGUCUGGCCAUUUACUUGAAAGCCAAAAACAGUCUGGCCAUUUAUUUGAGAGUUCAAAACAGUCUGGCCACUUAUUUGAAAAUCCAAAAACAGUCUGGCCAUUUAUUUGAAAGCCCAAAAACAGUGGCCAUUUAUUUGAAAGCCCAAAAACAGUCUGGCCAUUUAUUUGAAAGCCAAAAACAGUCUGGCCAUUUAUUUGAGAGUUCAAAACAGUCUGGCCACUUAUUUGAAAAUCCAAAAACAGUCUGGCCAUUUAUUUGAAAGCCCAGAAACAGUCUGGCCAUUUAUUUGAAAGCUCAAAAACAGUCUGGCCAUUUAUUUGAAAGCCAAAAACAAUCUGGCCAUUUAUUUGAAAGCCAAAAACAAUCUGGCCAUUUAUUUGAAAGCCAAAAACAAUCUGGCCAUUUAUUUGAAAGCCAAAAACAAUCUGGCCAUUUAUUUGAAAGCUAAAAACAGUCUGGUCAUAUAUUUGAGAGUCCAAAACAGUCAGGCCAUUUAUUGAAAGUCAAAAACAGUGUGGCCAUUUAUUUGAAAGCCAUAAACAAACUGGUCUUUUAUUUGAAAGCCCAAAACAGGCAUUUGAGAGUCCAAAACAGACAAUUUGAGUCCAAAACAAUUUGACCAUUUAUUUGAGUCCAAAACAGUCAGGCCAUAUUGAGAGUCUAAAACAGUCAGGCCAUUUAUUUGAGUGUAAAACAAUCAGAUCAUUUAUUUAAAAGCCCAAAAUAGUCAGGUUAUAUGUGGUGCCUGUGUUUCACUUAUGUCUCCUUGCAAGCAGUAAUAGUCUGGUUGAUGAAAUAAUCACCAGGUUGAUGAAACAGUCACCAAGCUUAAUCACCAGGUUGAUGAAACAGUCACCAAGCUUAACAAUUACCAGGUUCAGCUCUGACAGCUUAACCACUCUCAAACUGGCCAAAAAUUAAAGAGAGGAAUGACUGUUCUUAUGUUACAACAUGAUAAGGGCUAAAGUACAAUAUUCUUGUCACUGAUGGUUAGAAGUAAGCACUAGUAGCCUUAGCAGUUAUAUAAGAGGUGCAUGUCAAUAAAUUACCAUAUGUAUGAAA
This is a long non-coding RNA of Cherax quadricarinatus, 8217 nucleotides long. RefSeq lists it as uncharacterized. The record is from RefSeq and is a predicted model, not a curated record. NCBI's taxonomy places the organism in Eukaryota, Metazoa, Arthropoda, Malacostraca, Decapoda, Parastacidae.